This 21-nucleotide non-coding RNA is filed under the name Caenorhabditis elegans. Lineage: Eukaryota; Metazoa; Nematoda; Chromadorea; Rhabditida; Rhabditidae. The record is from RNAcentral.
UGUAACAGGCAAUUUCUUGAG